RNAcentral lists this ribosomal RNA (810 nucleotides) under Aspergillus oryzae. RNAcentral's name for it is "SSU rRNA". It matches the Rfam family "Eukaryotic small subunit ribosomal RNA", at positions 158 to 978 of the family's 1831-position model. Lineage: Eukaryota; Fungi; Ascomycota; Eurotiomycetes; Eurotiales; Aspergillaceae. The record is from RNAcentral.
CUAGAGCUAAUACAUGCUAAAAACCUCGACUUCGGAAGGGGUGUAUUUAUUAGAUAAAAAACCAAUGCCCUUCGGGGCUCCUUGGUGAUUCAUAAUAACUUAACGAAUCGCAUGGCCUUGCGCCGGCGAUGGUUCAUUCAAAUUUCUGCCCUAUCAACUUUCGAUGGUAGGAUAGUGGCCUACCAUGGUGGCAACGGGUAACGGGGAAUUAGGGUUCGAUUCCGGAGAGGGAGCCUGAGAAACGGCUACCACAUCCAAGGAAGGCAGCAGGCGCGCAAAUUACCCAAUCCCGACACGGGGAGGUAGUGACAAUAAAUACUGAUACGGGGCUCUUUUGGGUCUCGUAAUUGGAAUGAGUACAAUCUAAAUCCCUUAACGAGGAACAAUUGGAGGGCAAGUCUGGUGCCAGCAGCCGCGGUAAUUCCAGCUCCAAUAGCGUAUAUUAAAGUUGUUGCAGUUAAAAAGCUCGUAGUUGAACCUUGGGUCUGGCUGGCCGGUCCGCCUCACCGCGAGUACUGGUCCGGCUGGACCUUUCCUUCUGGGGAACCUCAUGGCCUUCACUGGCUGUGGGGGGAACCAGGACUUUUACUGUGAAAAAAUUAGAGUGUUCAAAGCAGGCCUUUGCUCGAAUACAUUAGCAUGGAAUAAUAGAAUAGGACGUGCGGUUCUAUUUUGUUGGUUUCUAGGACCGCCGUAAUGAUUAAUAGGGAUAGUCGGGGGCGUCAGUAUUCAGCUGUCAGAGGUGAAAUUCUUGGAUUUGCUGAAGACUAACUACUGCGAAAGCAUUCGCCAAGGAUGUUUUCAUUAAUC